UGGCUGCAGGGAAAUACAUUGAUAAGUGAGUAGACCUCCUUGUGCCUGAAAAAGUAUUUUCAAGCAAAUAAACAAGCCUGCCAUCCCCAUAUGAAUAGGAAAAUUUUCAAAACUGGUGAAGAAGCGGUGAGCUUAUAUCAAAGUUAAUUAUUUAAAAUAUCUAUGAUCUGUUUAAAGGUUCUAACUGAACUUCCAUUCUUCCAGACUGUUGCACAUCUUUUUGUGCAGCCCUAGUUGGACUUAAAAGAUCAACAGAAUCCUCUUCUUCAAGGUUACCCAACACCCAAUUGCUUCUCCCAAAUAUUCUGUCCCUCCUCCGCUGUUUCUCUUGAUAUUCCAGAUACAUGACAAUCAGCAGAAGAAUCAAGAACCAAACGAUUAAUGCUCCAUUAUACCCAUGAAGAUCUUCACUUCCGUAUCUAUCUCUCAAAUGCUUUAGCCCGCUGAAAAGUGCGGCAACUCCCAAAACAAUUGCACAUCUGCCAAUAAUAAUGUGAAAAUACUCCCAAAUCAGUCUCUUUGAGGAUACCUCCUCCCCAUUUACAGGCUUCUUAGGCCUCAUGAAAGCAUUUACUGGUUGCGCACAAGCCAAAAAUAUAGCAGUAAGCCCAAAUUUAACAUGUAAUGAGCUGACAUAUAAGCCCCGAAGCUCAGCCACCGCAAAAAGAAGGCCAAGUAGGACAAUUGCUAAACCCGAGUACUGCAAAUAAACAUGAAUCUGAUACCAGCCAUCCCCUUUCACAUGCUUCAAAUAUCUAGCUGCCAAAAUUCCACCAGGAAGCAAAAUACCCCAAGCAAGGAACAUCAUGAAUCCAUGCACAGCUAACACAGGUCGUAGAUCUUGCUCAGCCUCUGCAGAACCACGCAUAAGCAACACUCGGACAGGCCUAUUACUAGUAACAGAAUGCAUAUUUUUCUCACUUAGAUGUUUGUCUGACCAUUUGGUACCCAUUGCCCAUAUAACCUUAAGAGGGCUAGUGGGAUCAAUGAUAUUCUUACACUCUGGCUGAUCAUUGUGACUACAUGUUGGUUUAAAGGGCCGUGUAAACUCAAAGGUAAUGAUGCCAUUUUCUGAUUUGAACCUUAUAUCAGUCAAAUUCUCAUUUGUUGGAUGAACACUAAAGGCAUCCUUCCCAUCAAUCCAAUAUGUGUUUACAUGCCCUUUGCUGCUCUCAUCCACCCAGCCAACAUAAGCAUAACUAUUCACCAUUCCACUACCAAAUCCUAUUGCAAUAUAACCACUCUUUUUCUCACCUCGAGCUGCAAUAGAUAUAGAAUCCUUUGCCAACGUCCAAAAGAACGUCACUUGUUGAUCGUCCAAAACAACACUAUUAUUAUACAUAUCAGAUAAACCCCCAUCAACAACCUGAACUCUCCAGCCCAUCUUCUGCUGAUACAAGGAUUGAUAGUACACUUGAUCUGGAGUAUUCCUAUCUGGUUGCCAAACCAAUUCCAUUGGACUAGCCAAAACACCCUCGGCUUCAGGGCCUCCAGCAUAAAUAGUCUCUGUCUUAUUCCUCAGUGUUGCAUUCCCACCUAUCAAAUCUGAAGUAAUGUACAACGCAACAUCAUGUCCAGCUUGCACUGAUAACUUCACUGGCACCCCUCUUUCAACUCUCAAAACUGGAGCCUCUUUCUUAUUAAUGUACAAAACCUUAGAAGGAUUCGGCGGAUUAGGAUAAUGCAUUGCAGGACCAGUAGUAACAACAAGAGGCACGUUUGCAUCUGCAAUAAUCAAAUCCUGAUCCUCCUUGUCUUCAGCAUCCAAGGGCCCCAAACAAUCAUUCACCUGCUCAGAUACAUUAAGCACCAGAUGGCCAUAAGUCACCAUUUUUGGGCCUCCAUGAUACUGAGGAAGAUAGUAAGGCCUAAUAGUGUCAGGUGGCCUCAUCAACCCCAAUGCCCAAAUCACUGUCAUAUUAGCAGUAUGACUCACAGGCAAAUCAUAUUUCUUGUCAACUGAAACCAACGGCCUCCUGUACCUUACAAAGGACACCCCAUCCCUUCUAUGCCCAUAAAUCAGUUUUGUAUUGUUCACCAAUCCAACUGGGUCCGACCCUUCAUAUAUGGUAUCUGGGCAAACACCGAAGGCUGAACCAUCCUUGUUUAUCGUACACUCACUGUAUUUGGUGAUGAAAAAAUCAUCAGCAAACGGCUUUCCUUCUUCUGUGAACCCAGCCACCGCUACGUCAGCUUCCUGCAUUAGAUCGGCGUCAGAAUCCAGUUGCGCCCACCCGAAUGCCAUGUAAUUCUGGAUCCCAGUGGCGGCCUCUAAUCCUAUAUCUAUGAAAUUAUUUUUUAUACUCAAACUCCAUCUAAUCCUAUAGUUCUUAGACAACACCUUGCAGUUAUCAAACAUCGUCGGCGCAGUAAAAGUCAAAUUUUCCCCUUCCUCGAGCGUAGUAUCGUUAUCAGA
Molecule: unclassified non-coding RNA, 2416 nt
Filed under: Hevea brasiliensis (rubber tree)
Lineage: Eukaryota; Viridiplantae; Streptophyta; Magnoliopsida; Malpighiales; Euphorbiaceae
Source: RNAcentral